This is a long non-coding RNA of Artibeus jamaicensis (Jamaican fruit-eating bat), 3314 nucleotides long. RefSeq lists it as uncharacterized. Lineage: Eukaryota; Metazoa; Chordata; Mammalia; Chiroptera; Phyllostomidae. The record is from RefSeq and is a predicted model, not a curated record. The transcript is spliced from 4 exons.
UAGAGGAGCCCCCCCUUCAGGGAGCGGCACUGCGGGUCGUGGGCGCGAGUCAUCAGAGUUCUGGCCAGAGAUACCGGGGCCACUCAGAGUUGACCCCAGAAAGAGGAGCCACUGUGAGGAGAAGGGACUCGUGCUUUCCUUAGACCUUUCCACACUGGCCAGCCCCCACACCGAAACUGCUUGUUCAUCGGAGCUGGGCUCGGUGGGGAGUGACUCAGAAUCCUGUUUUCUCUCUUCUCCAAUUUUCUUCUUAAAGGCCCCAUUUUUAGGGUCAGUGGACUCAUUGUCAGGCACGGCGGGUCUUUCCAAGGACGGGAUAGGCUGGGUCACUGAGAAGCCGCUGACGGAAGGGGGGCUUCCCUCCAAAGCUUCCCCCACUCUCAGCGCCCUUGCUGGGGUGCCGCUGGGGGUGUCAGCCUCAGCCGACCCCACUGACCAGCUAUGCUGGCAAGAGGCACCACUAUUGCAGCUGCUGGCCAAGAAACGAGGAGUCGGAGUACAAUGUCUUCUUCAGAGAUUUCAGGGCAGACGGAUGUGCUGACCCCAGAGGCGACAAAGCGUGACCUGGGUUGCCAGGAGAAACCUUAGUUAUGCGUGUCUGUGACUCUCGUGGAGACUGCUGUACGCCUGAGCCAGCCCUGGACCAGAACCACGCCGGGCUGGGCUCCCGAUCCCAGCGGCACACUAGGAGGCUAUGGGCUGGAGCUGCCCACCCUGCUCAGUCACCAGCGGGGUGUCUGGAUUGGUAACAGUGGCCCUGGCUGGGAAGAGGCUGGGACAGGAGCCAGGCAAGGAGAGAGAAACAUCGAUGUGAGAGAGAAACAUCAAUUGGCUGCCUUCUGUAUGUGACUGAACCAGGGAUCGAACCUGCAACCUAGGUAUAUGCCCUGAUUGGGAAUUGAACCUGCAACCCUUUGGUUAUAGGAUGAAACUCCAACCAGCUGAGCCACACUGGUCAGGGUGGUCCCCUUCAUCUCUUCUGUGAUCCUCAGCCUUCCUGUGAGAGGAAAGGAAAGCUCAGGGGAGGUGAGAGUUUAGUAAAAUCACCCCACCUGGUGCAUUCGGGGGCAGAACCUGUCUCACACCGGGGCUUCUGACCUCAGGGUGCUUCUUGCCGGUAACGUGCCUGGUACACUCAGCACUGGAGUUUGUGUGUCAAGACCCUGGUUCUUCCCUUCAUGUUGCCUCUGAGUGAGUGGCUUAAUCUCUUGAAGCCUAACUUUCCUUGACUCAAAGAUGUAAGGUGACUCCGGCAAUGAUGAUGUUCUCCUGAGUAGCAAGGUGCGACCUGUGACCUAGUCUUUCUUGCUCAGACAGCUGAGAGAGGUCACGGCUGUCCACCUCGGCGACUGUACCAACUGGUACUCAGCGCUGCUUCCUCGCGGAGCCAGCGUGGGGUGUCUUCCUGUCAGGCUGUGCUCCAUCCUGGUGCACAUCAGGUUUAUCACCGACUCCCUGGGGAGCCUGUGCUGGGGGCGUCCGUGAACCUUUCUACCAGCAGCACCCGCAGAGCCAUAGGUUUUAAUCUGACCCCACAGUCUGGGGGUUGCCAUCAAGCACCCACACUUCCUCAUAUCCCAACCUGGGGACUCUAGAUAGGAAUCGCGGGCCCCUAAUUCAGACUUGCCCUCCUGACACUAAGUUCCAGCCACUGCCCUUCCCACCCUCCCCAGUGAGACGGCCUGGACGCUAGAGGCACCCUGCGUUUCCUUUCUCCCAUUCUGGGCUCCUCUGUCUUCCCCCAUCCCUUUCCCUCAUGCCCACAUUCCCCUCUCAUAUCCCCCCAUGUCUCCCACCCUCCUCUGUUCUCCCCUCUAUCUCCUCACCCCUUUCCCAACUUUCCUCCGCCCUUCUCUCUCUUUCUCUUUCCUCCUCUCCUUUCCCGUGUACCACCACCUCCCCGCUCCUCAUCCCUUACCCCACCCUGCCCUAAUCUUUGCAUGUGGUGGAUGUGGCAGUUCUGAGUUCCUGGGCCUCUCCUACCAGGGCACCUGUGAGUUUCAUUUCUGAGCAGGCCACCUCCCAGUGGCACAGAGCAGGGGGCCUCAGGGCCCCCCUGAGUGGAGGAGAGAAGGGCUCCCUGUAUGGACGUGGGCUUCAGGAGGCCUCACACACUGGCUACAAGGUGUUUUGUGUUUCACUGGCUCUGGCCAGUGCUGAUAUGCUCUCGGAUGGCACCACCCUCACUGAGGACACUUUUGGCCACGGUGUCUUUCUGCUGAACUGGGGCAGAGGGUGUGGGGAGGGGCAAGGGUAUCCCUCUGAGUCAUCUGGGACUCUUCCUACUCUCUCUCCCCCUCCCACAGUCAAGCAGUCCUUUGAUUAGCCCCUGAAAUGCUCCCUCAGACUUCCCUCCUCUCUGUGGUUCCAGCCUUCGUCAGCUCCUGGUUGGACCGAGGUCGUUUUGUCCUGGCUGUCUUCCAGGCCACCUGACAUUCAUUCCGCUUCGUUUCGAUGUGUGCCUGAUGCCAAGAUAGUUCACCCACCACUCCCCAUUGCCUUUAUUUUUUUUAAUUUAUUUUUAUUGUAUUUUUUCCAUGACCAUGUGUCCUCCUUUCACCCUUUUCCACCUCCCUCCUCCAGUGCCUUCAGAACAUGCUCAACACAGCCUUCUGAGUUCUCAGGAGUCACCCAGGCUGGCUUCUCUGUGCCCCGCCUCGUGUUUUGUGAACGAUUCCAAAGCCAGUUACGAAUGUGAUAUUCCUCCCUUGAAUAUUUUACUAUGCAUCUUUAAAAAGCAGGGUAAUUCUCCGAUGUAAUCAUACUGUCAUCAUAGCUAAGAGAAAUAUUUUCUCACAUCUGAUUCUCAGUUCAUAUGCAAAUUUCCCCGGUUGUUCCUCUAUCUUUUCACAGUUGGCUUGUUCAGACAAAGAUUCAAUCAAAGACCAAGCAUUGUACUUGGUUUUUACGUGUCUGAAGUUUCUUAAUCUUGACUUCAGACCACCUUCGCUCCCACUCAUCUUUCACCACAUCCUUCCUGAGUACUCUGGGCUACCCAGUCCUAGUCUGCACUGGGGUUGUGACCUGCUCUUUGUUUAUACUUGGCCUUUCCUCCUUCCUGGAACUGAGAGCUUGCUCCUUCUCUAAAGUCACUUCAGAGAGUACCACCCACUUCUGCGAAAUUAGUUUUUUCUUUUUCCUCCCUGGGCUGAGGCAUCACCUGCCUCUCCCUCUGACCUCAUCCAGCUGACACCAGGGGUUGCUGCCACAGUGUGGCCUUGCUGGUUGAGGGCAGGACCACCGUCCUCCCCACCUUGCUCUCCUCCCACCCCUGUGCCUAAUGCAUGCUUGGCAUCUACAGGCAGCAUAAUAAA